AUUGUUUUUCUUCAGAGUCCUCUCCCAUUUACUGAUGUCAGAGCUGGACUCUGACAUGUGGUGCCCCAUGUGAGUUUGCUUUUUGUUUGAACUUGUUUUUUGUGUAAGCUUGCUUUUUGUGUAAAGCUUGCUUUUGGUGUGAGCUUACUUUUGUGUAAGGCCUGCUUUUUGUAUGAGGCUGCUUUUUGAGUGCUGCCUGUUUUUAUGAGGUUCAUUUUUCUGUGUGAGGCCUAAAUUUUAUAAAAUAUUUUAAAUACUGAACCGGCUGGCACUCACCCACGCCCGGCAAGUGGUUAUAGACGCGUCAUACAGCCUUAAGGAUUCCGGGUGAGUGUUUGUUUGUCCAGGUGGAACAUAGCCAUUAUGGGUUCAUCUUUGUCUUCAGCCCAGAAACAAUAUGUGGAUGACCUCCUCUAUUUGCUAACUAAAAAUGGACACACAGUUACAAAGAAAGAGGUCGAAGAUUUAGUUUUUGCCAUAAAAGAUGUGUGUCCCUGGGUGCCAGAAAGUGGCACAAUAAAGCUGGAAGAUUGGUGUAAAAUUGGCUGCAACUUUCAGAAUUAUCCAAAAAUUUCAUCAAAAGUGCUUUUUACAUGGUGUCAGGUCCGUGUUUGUUUAAAGGGACUGACACCCAAUAACAUCUUAUUUGCCCAACAACAAGAAGCAGGCUGUUUUACUCUUCCUCCAUUACCUCAACUGUUGCCACCUGCUCCUACAGUGCAUUUAGUGUCACCGCCUUGUUAUGAGCCACAAAAAUGCAAACCUCUUGAUAUUGGACUUAAUGACAAUGGUGACUUUGUUGCCCCUGAUUUAUUUCCAGCAGAUAAUCAUGGUGAGGGGCCAAGGUCUAAUUUUUUUGCUGCAACAGUUGCUUCUGCUUUAUUAGAUUCAGGGGAUGCAGGAAAUACCACCAUUUCUGCUUUACCUGUAAUCCGUGAUACACCUGUAGUAGGAAAUAACCCUGGUGUCCCAGAUAGAUAUGACCCUUUGGGAUAUCAAUUUAUUAAGGAGUUGCAAUGCAGCAUUAAGGAUAAUGGCAUUCAAGCUCCAUACACCNNNNNNNNNNNNNNNNNNNNNNNNNNNNN
Molecule: long non-coding RNA, 1085 nt
Filed under: Pogona vitticeps (central bearded dragon)
Lineage: Eukaryota; Metazoa; Chordata; Lepidosauria; Squamata; Agamidae
Description: lncRNA (ENSPVIG00000006480.1)
Source: RNAcentral